CCUACGGGGUGCAGCAGUCUAGAGGCUUCGGCAAUGGGGGCAACCCUGACCGAGCGACGCCGCGUGUGGGAUUGAAGGCCUUCGGGUCGUAAACCACUGUCAUUGGGAAAGAAUGCCCGGAUGGCGAAUCCGGGAGGGACGGUACCCAAGAAGGAAGCCCCGGCUAACUCCGUGCCAGCAGCCGCGGUAAUACGGAGGGGGCAAGCGUUGUUCGGAUUUACUGGGCGUAAAGGGUGGGUAGGCGGCUGCGCAAGUCUGGUGUGAAAUCUUCACCGCUUAACGGGAAGAGGUCACUGGAAAAUGCGGA
This 307-nucleotide ribosomal RNA is filed under the name uncultured prokaryote. Its description in RNAcentral is "bacterial SSU rRNA". It matches the Rfam family "Bacterial small subunit ribosomal RNA", at positions 338 to 639 of the family's 1533-position model. The record is from RNAcentral.